CCUACGGGUGGCAGCAGUGAGGAAUAUUGGUCAAUGGGCGCGAGCCUGAACCAGCAAAGUAGCGUGAAGGAUGAAGGAGCUAUGGUUUGUAAACUUCUUUUAUAUAGGAAUAAAGUGAGGAACGUGUGCCUUUUUGUAUGUACGAUAUGAAUAAGCAUAGGCUAACUCCGUGCCAGCAGCCGAGGUAAUACGGAGGAUUGGAGCGUUAUCCGGAUUUAUUGGGUGUAAAGGGAGCGUAGGUGGUGAGUUAAGUCAGUGGUGAAAGUUUGCGGCUCAACCGUAAAAGUGCAUUUGAUACUGGCGGACUUGAGUGUAGAUGAGGUAGGCGGAAUGCGUGGUGUAGCGGUGAAAUGCUUAGAUAUCACGCAGAACACCGAUUGCGAAGGCAGCUUACUAAUCUAUAACUGACACUGAGGCUCGAAAGCGUGGGUAUCAAACAGGAUUAGAUACCCGAGUAGUC
This 460-nucleotide ribosomal RNA is filed under the name uncultured bacterium. Its description in RNAcentral is "partial 16S ribosomal RNA". It matches the Rfam family "Bacterial small subunit ribosomal RNA", at positions 338 to 795 of the family's 1533-position model. The record is from RNAcentral.